RNAcentral lists this ribosomal RNA (510 nucleotides) under uncultured bacterium. Its description in RNAcentral is "partial 16S ribosomal RNA". It matches the Rfam family "Bacterial small subunit ribosomal RNA", at positions 28 to 507 of the family's 1533-position model. The record is from RNAcentral.
GACGAACGCUGGCGGCGUGCUUAACACAUGCAAGUCGAACGAAGAGCGAUGGAAGCUUGCCUCUAUCAAUCUUAGUGGCGAACGGGUGAGUAACGCGUAAUCAACCUGCCCUUCAGAGGGGGACAACAGUUGGAAACGACUGCUAAUACCGCAUACGAUCUAACCUCGGCAUCGAGGAAAGAUGAAAGGUGGCCUCUAUGUAUAAGCUAUCACUGAAGGAGGGGAUUGCGUCUGAUUAGCUAGUUGGAGGGGUAACGGCCCAACAAGGCGAUGAUCAGUAGCCGGUCUGAGAGGAUGAACGGCCACAUUGGGACUGAGACACGGCCCAGACUCCUACGGGAGGCAGCAGUGGGGAAUCUUCCGCAAUGGACGAAAGUCUGACGGAGCAACGCCGCGUGAGUGAUGACGGCCUUCGGGUUGUAAAGCUCUGUUAAUCGGGACGAAAGGCCUUCUUGCGAAUAGUGAGAAGGAUUGACGGUACCGGAAUAGAAAGCCACGGCUAACUACGUG